UGGAUUUACUGGUUUGUCUGAGGUUAUAUUUUAGAGACUACUUGAUAUGUGCUCAAAAAUAUUCUGAGCAAAUCAAAACUCUAUAUGAGAUAUGGACUUGGGAAAUUUGAUGCUCUCUUAUCUUAGGAUUUGGAGUGUCAGACUUAUGUGAAAUGUUUACAUACCGACUAGCUUGGAUCUUGAUCUGAUAAAUACUAUAUUAAAGAUAUUCUUUCUACCUUCUUAAUA
Molecule: long non-coding RNA, 228 nt
Filed under: Elaeis guineensis (African oil palm)
Lineage: Eukaryota; Viridiplantae; Streptophyta; Magnoliopsida; Arecales; Arecaceae
Description: long non-coding RNA (EGUI_LNC021977)
Source: RNAcentral